GUAGGUGGCAAGCGUUGUCCGGAAUUAUUGGGCGUAAAGCGCGCGCAGGCGGUUCUUUAAGUCUGAUGUGAAAGCCCACGGGCUCAACCGUGAGGGUCAUUGGAAACUGGAGAACUUGAGUACAGAAGAGGAAAGCGGAAUUCCACGUGUAGCGGUGAAAUGCGUAGAGAUGUGGAGGAACACCAGUGGCGAAGGCGGCUUUCUGGUCUGUAACUGACGCUGAGGCGCGAAAGCGUGGGGAGCAAACAGGAUUAGAUACCCUGGUAGUCCACGCCGUAAACGAUGAGUGCCAAGUGUUAGGGGGUUUCCGCCCCUUAGUGCUGCAGCUAACGCAUUAAGCACUCCGCCUGGGGAGUACGGCCGCAAGGCUG
RNAcentral lists this ribosomal RNA (371 nucleotides) under uncultured organism. RNAcentral describes it as "partial 16S ribosomal RNA". It matches the Rfam family "Bacterial small subunit ribosomal RNA", at positions 527 to 896 of the family's 1533-position model. The record is from RNAcentral.